RNAcentral lists this ribosomal RNA (502 nucleotides) under uncultured bacterium. RNAcentral describes it as "partial 16S ribosomal RNA". It matches the Rfam family "Bacterial small subunit ribosomal RNA", at positions 30 to 523 of the family's 1533-position model. The record is from RNAcentral.
AUUGAACGCUGGCGGCAUGCCUUACACAUGCAAGUCGAACGGCAGCACGGGAGCUUGCUCCUGGUGGCGAGUGGCGAACGGGUGAGUAAUACAUCGGAACGUACCCAGGAGUGGGGGAUAACGUAGCGAAAGUUACGCUAAUACCGCAUAUUCUGUGAGCAGGAAAGCGGGGGAUCGCAAGACCUCGCGCUUUUGGAGCGGCCGAUGUCGGAUUAGCUAGUUGGUAAGGUAAAAGCUCACCAAGGCGACGAUCCGUAGCAGGUCUGAGAGGAUGAUCUGCCAAACUGGGACUGAGACACGGACCAGACUCCUACGGGAGGCAGCAGUGGGGAAUUUUGGACAAUGGGGGCAACCCUGAUCCAGCCAUGCCGCGUGAGUGAAGAAGGCCUUAGGGUUGUAAAGCUCUUUCGGCGGGGAAGAAAUGGCAACGGCUAAUAUCCGUUGUUGAUGACGGUACCCGCAUAAGAAGCACCGGCUAACUACGUGCCAGCAGCCGCCGUAA